GAGUAUGUGUUUUACCUGUUUCCCUUGAGCUGGAACUUCAGUACCUGACAGAACUUGGCUGCAUGCAUGAUUUUUCUGGAACUCACAGGCCAUGGCCAGUGUCAGCAACUUCCAUAUGCUCAGAUAGCCUCAGAAAACGGCAUCUGUCAGGGCACAGCGCAGCUUUGCGUGGAAAGGACUGUGUGCCUUUUCAGCGCCUGUGUAGAGAAGAGGCGGAACAUUGCCUUCAUUUGGAGGGACGUUGGCAUGCUGCUGAUUGAGGGCAGACGGGUCCAAAUGAGAUUCUACAAGGACUUCCUAGGGAAGCUCAGUGGGACUGCUGACAUGUUGCAGGCUCUUCUUGCGGUAGGUUUUGCAUUUUCCUAGCACUACCUCUGUUUCUUCUGAAAUGCCUUCCAGGGACUAGGGGACUGCUUUCUCCUGGCCUGCAGUCCUUCUUCAGCCACCUGGGCUCCUGGUGGUCUGCGAGAAAGCAGGCUCUAUAGAGCUCUUCCCUUACAUGAGGUGGCCUGGCUUUGUGCUGGUAUUUGCACCCUCGAAAGGCUUUGGUUUUUCUCAAGAGACCAGAGUAAUGGUGGGCGGCAUUGCUCAGCCCCAACUCAGAGCAUGGAGCAGAGGCACAGGCAGAACAAGGCUUGCUGAGGCCCGAACUCUUUGGUGGCUCUCACUGCAUUGGGCUAAGAGAGACUGGAGCUGCCAGCCAUUCCUAGUGUCCCCAUCUCCCAUCAUC
This 730-nucleotide long non-coding RNA is filed under the name Numida meleagris (helmeted guineafowl). RNAcentral's name for it is "lncRNA (ENSNMEG00000019042.1)". The record is from RNAcentral. Lineage: Eukaryota; Metazoa; Chordata; Aves; Galliformes; Numididae.